Molecule: long non-coding RNA, 330 nt
Organism: Daphnia magna
Lineage: Eukaryota; Metazoa; Arthropoda; Branchiopoda; Diplostraca; Daphniidae
Exons: 2
Source: RefSeq, a predicted model, not a curated record
ACGGAGAAGGAAUGCCGGAUGUAUUGUGCUGUCAAUGGUGGUCGAGCACCGACUGCCGGAGAUCAAGCCGGAACAUCCCAUAUAUAGUAACGUGCUGCUAACUAAAAGCGUCUGCCGUCGCGAUGCUUCCACAUAAAUAUCGGAUGUGCUGCUCUGCAACAAAUGAAAAGAUCGAGAAACUAUAGAUGGUGUAGGCUACAUCUGCAGGACCAAAUUAAGCCAUCAAGAUAAUAUAAAUGAUUAACAAAUUAAGCAAGUUAAGCAACGAUAACCCAGUUGGGUUAAAUAUAUGAUUCAUGCAUGCUGAAAUAAAAUGUAUACCACCCUGAA